RNAcentral lists this ribosomal RNA (495 nucleotides) under Microbacterium marinilacus. RNAcentral's name for it is "bacterial SSU rRNA". It matches the Rfam family "Bacterial small subunit ribosomal RNA", at positions 371 to 876 of the family's 1533-position model. The record is from RNAcentral. Lineage: Bacteria; Bacillati; Actinomycetota; Actinomycetes; Micrococcales; Microbacteriaceae.
AUGGGCGAAAGCCUGAUGCAGCAACGCCGCGUGAGGGAUGACGGCCUUCGGGUUGUAAACCUCUUUUAGCAGGGAAGAAGCGAGAGUGACGGUACCUGCAGAAAAAGCGCCGGCUAACUACGUGCCAGCAGCCGCGGUAAUACGUAGGGCGCAAGCGUUAUCCGGAAUUAUUGGGCGUAAAGAGCUCGUAGGCGGUUUGUCGCGUCUGCUGUGAAAACUGGAGGCUCAACCUCCAGCCUGCAGUGGGUACGGGCAGACUAGAGUGCGGUAGGGGAGAUUGGAAUUCCUGGUGUAGCGGUGGAAUGCGCAGAUAUCAGGAGGAACACCGAUGGCGAAGGCAGAUCUCUGGGCCGUAACUGACGCUGAGGAGCGAAAGGGUGGGGAGCGAACAGGCUUAGAUACCCUGGUAGUCCACCCCGUAAACGUUGGGAACUAGUUGUGGGGGCCUUUCCACGGUCUCCGUGACGCAGCUAACGCAUUAAGUUCCCCGCCUGG